This 450-nucleotide ribosomal RNA is filed under the name Rhodotorula mucilaginosa. Its description in RNAcentral is "SSU rRNA". It matches the Rfam family "Eukaryotic small subunit ribosomal RNA", at positions 563 to 1016 of the family's 1831-position model. The record is from RNAcentral. Lineage: Eukaryota; Fungi; Basidiomycota; Microbotryomycetes; Sporidiobolales; Sporidiobolaceae.
UGUGUCAGCCGCCGCGGUAAUUCCAGCUCCAAUAGCGUAUAUUAAAAUUGUUGCCGUUAAAAAGCUCGUAGUCGAACUUCGGGCUCUGUCAGCCGGUCCGCCUUCUUGGUGUGUACUUGUUUGACGGAGCCUUACCUCCUGGUGAACGGCGAUGUCCUUUACUGGGUGUCGUCGCAAACCAGGACUUUUACUUUGAAAAAAUUAGAGUGUUCAAAGCAGGCCUUUGCCCGAAUACAUUAGCAUGGAAUAAUAAAAUAGGACGCGCGUUCCCAUUUUGUUGGUUUCUGAGAUCGCCGUAAUGAUUAAUAGGGAUAGUUGGGGGCAUUUGUAUUCCGUCGUCAGAGGUGAAAUUCUUGGAUUGCCGGAAGACAAACUACUGCGAAAGCAUUUGCCAAGGAUGUUUUCAUUGAUCAAGAACGAAGGAAGGGGGAUCGAAAACGAUUAGAAACC